RNAcentral lists this long non-coding RNA (3012 nucleotides) under Homo sapiens (human). RNAcentral's name for it is "HSALNT0323028". The record is from RNAcentral. Lineage: Eukaryota; Metazoa; Chordata; Mammalia; Primates; Hominidae.
UCCUUUGGUCUCAGUGAACUCAGAGGUGGAGAAAGUCAUAAGAAUCAGGGAGCCUGCCCCAAAUUGCCUCCUAUGAUAACUUUCCACAAAGACUGGAGGGGAGGCUUCAAACAUCUUCCUGCAGUGUCCAGCAAGACAGCGAGGCAGACUCCCUUUCUCCUGCCAAAGCCACGUGGAGCCAGACAGAACCACAAGCAUACCUGUGGUGCUUGGAGGCCCAAGUAGAAACUUGAAUGCUCACGGCUGCAUUGGCAGCUUCUACUUGCCUGCCUGGAUCACCGUUCCUCAUGAGAACUUGGAAAAGCAGGACUAUCAUUCUUGCUUGACAGACGAAGAAACCAAGCCUCAGGACUGCGUGCAAUUCUACUUGGAGAUCUUCAUAACACCUUAAGGGAAAAAUCCUUUUUGAAAGAAAAACAAGUCUGGGUGGUGCUUGAAAAUUCAGAAGGCAGCUAGAAACUCUGCCAAUUACAACUGGUGAUUGCUGAGUUCUGGAGACAGACUGGGCUUCUGCUUUCUUUUGGUGGAGGUGUCUGCUUGCAGAAAAUUUAUGUUCUGGGAUUUACAACUUCAGGGAGACAAAGGAAACUCCAGCUCAUCUCCCACAUCAUUGAUUGAGAGGACCAUUUUCUGACUGUCUGCACACGGAUGGGCAUUUGAAUUAUUUCCAGUUUUUGGCUAUUAUGAAAAAAACUGCUAUGAACAUUCAUACACAAGUGUGUGUGUGGACCCAUGUUUUCACUGAUCAAGGCCUAAAUACCUACGUGGUGCUUCGUGAACCCUGGAUGCUACAGUCUCUGGCCACAGCACUAAAUGUAUGCUGAGAUCUGGCUUCACGGUCGAGGGUGUUGCUGGUUUUCAAUGUGCCUGACAUAGGAUCAAUGGUGAAUGCACCAGAAGCCUCAUCAGUCAGAAAAUACUCAGUUUGCCCAUUCAGGCCUUCAUCCUUGUCCACAGCUGAAAGCACAAGAACCACUGUUCCCACUUCAGCAUCUUCUCUCACAGAGGACUGGUAAUAAAGUGUGGGAAAAGAAGGACUGUGGUCAUUGGCAUCCAAAACUCUAACUUGCAGGUGUAUUACAGAGCUCCUAGGUGGAUCUCCCAGGUCAGAGCACAGAAUGACAAGGGUAAAAUUGCUGAUUUGCUCCCGGUCCAAAGCACGAGUGGUUGAGAGUUCUCCUGACAUCUCAUUUAUAGUAAAGCACUCAUCAGUAUUUCCAUCUAUUAAAGAAAACAAUUACAAAUUCAUUUGAAUUGAAAAAGUAGCAGCUCUUUGCUAGCACUAUCUAUGGUAUUCAUUUAUACAUUCAUUAAAAAUAUAUUUAUUCCCGAUUAUAUUGUAUCCUAGCACUUUUGUAAAUAUUGGGGAUAUAACAGUAAGCAUGAUAAAGGCUCUGCCCUCAUGAAACUUCUAUUGAGGGGAUAAACAGAAUAAUAUGAUUCAAUGCCUAUCUUUAAUCAGUCAAUAAUUAGAACACUUGCUUUCACUAAUUUGCAGCCGUAUGAUUUUUUGUGUGCAUCUACAACUUUUAAUUUUAAUAUAUUUUUCCUCAUAAGAGGAUGAAGAUAUAUGUUUUAUUUAACACAAAACAAUAGAUGAGGAUAAAAAAAACAGAAUAUAAUGUCCUUUUUUAAGAUAUCAAUCAGAAAUGAACAGAUUUGAUUUGUAGUUAUUUUCUCAAAUAGUACCCACUACAGUAUUCAUGCCUGUUAUACUAUUGCAGUAAGCCUUCUCUUCUACAUGUCCACAGCAUUUUGUACAAGAAUCAUAACACUUUGGUUAGAGUUAGUUGGACACUUGACUAUUUCUUCCAAAACAUAAAUAAGGACAUUGUUCUAUUCAUCUAUUCCUUAAAAAAAAUCUGCCCUUUAUUAUAUUCCAUCGUAUCAAGUAGAAUAAAACUUAAAAUUGAACACAGGGACAAAAAGCUUUCAAAGACAUUUUUAAAUAACCCUGAAAAUUAGUGAAGAAAAAUGUGGUUCAUAUGCUUGCCAGCCAUAUUCUUGGAUGAAGAGCAGGCCCAAUAGUGUGGGAACUUACUAGAGUCUGCAUAUCAGAGGCAUAUGAGGACCAAGUGGAAUGGCAUUCAAAGGAAACAACAGCAAUAGGUAGCUUUAGGGAGGAGGAGAGGGCCCUGCAUUUGUAUUCAUGAGGAACAGUUAAUUUACACCAAAAGUAGAGAUGAUUGGACAAACCCACAUUUCUGUAGUAUUUGUGGCUGAUAAAGUGAUUCAGUCAUUCAGCAAACAUUUGAUGAGCAUCUACUAUGUGCCAAGUUUGUGCUCAAGAUCACAGAUAUGAAGGGAGUAAGACAUGACCUAGCUCCAAGAGUUCACAGUCUAAAAGGAAAGGCUGGUCAAUACUCGGGUAUUAAAGUACCAUGUGAAAAUCAUAUGUACAGAGUGCUAAAUGAGUACAUAUAGAUAGUGCUAGCCAAGGGGUGCUAUUUCUCUGAGAAGUACAGAGAAAGGGCACAUAGUCCUAUGUUAGUAAGUUCAAGAAAUGCUUAUUGGAAAAAGUGACAUCAAAUCUCACUCCUAAAGUGGAGAAAGCCAUACUACAAGUUUUGGGGAGAGUGUUCUAUGCAGAGGAAAGAGCCCGUGGGAAGUUCUAGGAAUAUAAGAAUUAACAGGCUGCAAAUGUUUGGGUGUGACUAGUACACAGGGUUCCUGGGUGUUUGUAUGUGGCAAGUAGGAAAAGGGCUGGCAGUAGCGGUAGAGGAAAGACAUGAAUUUGGGAGGUAAGCAGGGGGUCAAAUUGUGAAGGGCUCUCUGUAUACUGCUGAAGAUUCUAUAGUUUCUCCUGAAAUCCAUGAGGGAGCCCCCUGAAGGAUUUUGGACAGGAAAGUGUCAUGAAUCAAAUUUCUAUUUUAAGAAUAGUAUCGAGGCAGCAAUGUCAAAGUUUGUUUAGAAAAUAGGAUGGUUCCUGUAAUCCCAGAACUUUUGGAGACCAAGGCGGGAGGAUUGCUUGAGUCCAGGAAUUUGAGUCCAGCCUGGGCAACAUAGUGAGAC